RNAcentral lists this non-coding RNA (199 nucleotides) under Ditylum brightwellii. The record is from RNAcentral. Lineage: Eukaryota; Bacillariophyta; Thalassiosirophyceae; Lithodesmiales; Lithodesmiaceae.
UUGCUUGGUGUGGAUGGAAAGGCAGUGAAAAAGGGAAAUGAUGUUGAUAAGGCUGGAGGUGGAUUGCUUGGUGCUGAUGGAAAACCACUUUUUUGAAAACAAGAAACGGAGUAGGAAAAUGAAAUAUAUUUGGAAAAACAAUAAAUGAGUGGAUGGUAUGUGUAGAAUAUUAUUUUUAUUCUUUCCACAUUUUUUUUUA